GACGAACGCGGCGGCGUGCUUAACACAUGCAAGUCGAACGAAGAGCGAUGGAAGCUUGCUUCUAUCAAUCUUAGUGGCGAACGGGUGAGUAACGCGUAAUCAACCUGCCCUUCAGAGGGGGACAACAGUUGGAAACGACUGCUAAUACCGCAUACGAUCUAAUCUCGGCAUCGAGGAUAGAUGAAAGGUGGCCUCUACAUGUAAGCUAUCACUGAAGGAGGGGAUUGCGUCUGAUUAGCUAGUUGGAGGGGUAACGGCCCACCAAGGCGAUGAUCAGUAGCCGGUCUGAGAGGAUGAACGGCCACAUUGGGACUGAGACACGGCCCAGACUCCUACGGGAGGCAGCAGUGGGGAAUCUUCCGCAAUGGACGAAAGUCUGACGGAGCAACGCCGCGUGAGUGAUGACGGCCUUCGGGUUGUAAAGCUCUGUUAAUCGGGACGAAAGGCCUUCUUGCGAAUAGUAGAAGGA
RNAcentral lists this ribosomal RNA (469 nucleotides) under Veillonella parvula. RNAcentral describes it as "bacterial SSU rRNA". It matches the Rfam family "Bacterial small subunit ribosomal RNA", at positions 28 to 468 of the family's 1533-position model. Lineage: Bacteria; Bacillati; Bacillota; Negativicutes; Veillonellales; Veillonellaceae. The record is from RNAcentral.